AAAAAAUGUUUAGGGCUUGUUCUAUGCAAACUGAAAGUCUUUUUUUAUGUUAUGAUAAGUUCCCGUUUCUUCUUUCUUUUUUGGGUAAUAUUAGAAAGUAACCAUAGAAUUGAAAAGAAUGUAGUAACUAACCAUUGUCAGUUUAUAUGUGAGUAAAUAACCUUAUGACGGCAUAAGAAAAUACAAAAAUAUCCUUGCAAGUUGAACCAAAAGCAAGAGUAUGAAAAUAGCAUGAUAUUUAUAAAAAAGGUGACAUUUUAUAAUGUGUUAUAAGAAUAAAUAAUAUGUUAUAUGAAAAAGUAGCAUGUUGACAGAGAAAGAUUUCCAGUUAUAACGUGUAAUUCGAAAAAGUAGCAUGGUACAAAAGAAAAUAACAUACAAUUUAAAAAGAAAACAUAACGACGAUGAUUCCAAGAAAGAAUCAAAAUCGAACAAAAUAAAUAGCACGAUAUUUAUCAAAAAAGUGACAUUUUAUAAUGUGCUAUUAGAAUAAAUAAUUUGUUAUAUGGAAAAAUAGCAUGUUGUUUGAGAGAGAUUUUCAAUUAUAACGUGUAAUUCGAGAAAGUAGCAUGGUAAAAAAGAAAAUAACAUACAAUUUAAAAAGAAAACAUAACGACGGAGAUUCCAAGAAAGAAUCAAAAUCGAACAAAAUAAAAUGAGAAAUCUUCUGCAAAUUGAGGGAAAGAUGAUCCGUCAAUAUAAAUAACGUUUAGCAGCCUAAAUUUAUCGAAAAAGAGACUUGGUGGUUGUGAUGGUGGAAGAUGUGGUGGUUGUGGUGGUGGAAGAAAGAGAGAUGAGUGGUGGUUUGUUCGGAUUCAUCAAAAGUUUUUCGCCAUAUAAUCAUCUAAGUGUUCUGUGUGAUUUUGUAAAAUAGCAUGUAAUACAUAUAAAAUUCGACAAUGGGUAUAAAAGUAAUUGCAAAUGAUGAAAGAGAGUGUAUUCUGACACCAUAGUUACUUUGUUAAUUCUUUUACAAUUCAUAGUCAUUUUGUGCAUAUUCUCUUCUUUUUU
RNAcentral lists this small RNA (1011 nucleotides) under Arabidopsis thaliana (thale cress). Its description in RNAcentral is "ATSL156960". Lineage: Eukaryota; Viridiplantae; Streptophyta; Magnoliopsida; Brassicales; Brassicaceae. The record is from RNAcentral.